RNAcentral lists this ribosomal RNA (460 nucleotides) under uncultured bacterium. RNAcentral's name for it is "partial 16S ribosomal RNA". It matches the Rfam family "Bacterial small subunit ribosomal RNA", at positions 338 to 795 of the family's 1533-position model. The record is from RNAcentral.
CCUACGGGGGGCAGCAGUGAGGAAUAUUGGUCAAUGGCCGGAAGGCUGAACCAGCCAUGCCGCGUGAAGGUCAGUGCCCUAUGGGCGUUAAACUUCUUUUGUGCGGGAGCAAUAAUGGUCACGUGUGGCCAGACGAGAGUACCGUACGAAUAAGCAUCGGCUAACUCCGUGCCAGCAGCCGCGGUAAUACGGGGGAUGCAAGCGUUAUCCGGAUUUAUUGGGUUUAAAGGGUGCGUAGGCUGUGAGGUAAGUCAGCGGUGAAAUGCCCCCGCUCAACGGGGUGAAGUGCCAUUGAUACUGCCUGGCUGGAAUGCGGAUGCCGUGGGAGGAAUGUGUGGUGUAGCGGUGAAAUGCAUAGAUAUCACACAGAACACCGAUUGUGAAGGCAUCUCACGAAUCCGCGAUUGACGCUGAUGCACGAAAGCGUGGGUAUCAAACAGGAUUAGAUACCCCAGUAGUC